UACGUAGGGUGCGAGCGUUGCCCGGAUUUAUUGGGCGUAAAGGGCGCGUAGGCGGCUUGACAAGUCCCGGGUGAAAUCCCUCGGCUCAACCGAGGAACUGCCUUGGAAACUGUCUGGCUUGAGGCCGGGAGAGGGUAGUGGAAUUCCCAGUGUAGCGGUGAAAUGCGUAGAUACUGGGAGGAACACCGGUGGCGAAGGCGGCUACCUGGACCGGUUCUGACGCUGAGGCGCGAAAGCGUGGGUAGCAAACAGG
Molecule: ribosomal RNA, 253 nt
Filed under: uncultured bacterium
Lineage: Bacteria
Description: partial 16S ribosomal RNA
Rfam family: Bacterial small subunit ribosomal RNA
Source: RNAcentral